UCAAGCAGUUACUUUCAGAGGUGGCAUGUUGCAAUAAAGACAGAUCUGCCAUUUGGAAGCAGGGGUAAUAUGACUGCAUUUAUGAGUUCAGCUCACAAUGUUCAUGGAAGACAGGACUUCAUAGUUUGGAAAAGUUAAAAAUCAUCUUCAAGGUUGUACAUUGUUUACCCUUGAGGAUUCACUGAAAUGGCUAGUACAGCCACAUCAACAUCAAGUCACAUCUGCCUCCCAUCAGAAGCUUGUGUUAUUCUCAAGAACCCAGAAGCAAAGGUUGAAUGCUUUUAGGAGACUGAGCAGGUGCUAAGAGGUAGGAGACAGGAUCCUUGGUUCUGUAGCAGCACUAAGAUAGAAAUAUGGGACUUGCUGACUGCAGGGGACCAGCGCUCACUAAUGAAGCUGACCUGCCUCUGUCUCUUCU
Molecule: long non-coding RNA, 418 nt
Organism: Hyaena hyaena (striped hyena)
Lineage: Eukaryota; Metazoa; Chordata; Mammalia; Carnivora; Hyaenidae
Exons: 4
Source: RefSeq, a predicted model, not a curated record